CGGGAAGCCAGGCGGCGACGCCGAGCGGAACCCGAAAAGCCGUCUCAGUUCGGAUUGGAGUCUGCAACCCGACUCCAUGAAGCUGGAUUCGCUAGUAAUCGCGCAUCAGCCACGGCGCGGUGAAUACGUUCCCGGGCCUUGUACACACCGCCCGUCAAGCCAUGGGAGCCGGGAGUGCCUGAAGUACGUGACCGCAAGGAGCGUCCUAGGGUAAGACCGGUGACUGGGGCUAAGUCGUAACAAGGUAGC
RNAcentral lists this ribosomal RNA (249 nucleotides) under uncultured bacterium. RNAcentral's name for it is "partial 16S ribosomal RNA". It matches the Rfam family "Bacterial small subunit ribosomal RNA", at positions 1243 to 1500 of the family's 1533-position model. The record is from RNAcentral.